AACGAACGCUGGCGGCAGGCUUAACACAUGCAAGUCGAGCGAGACCUUCGGGUCUAGCGGCGGACGGGUGAGUAACGCGUGGGAACGUGCCCUUCUCUACGGAAUAGCCCCGGGAAACUGGGAGUAAUACCGUAUACGCCCUUUGGGGGAAAGAUUUAUCGGAGAAGGAUCGGCCCGCGUUGGAUUAGGUAGUUGGUGGGGUAAUGGCCCACCAAGCCGACGAUCCAUAGCUGGUUUGAGAGGAUGAUCAGCCACACUGGGACUGAGACACGGCCCAGACUCCUACGGGAGGCAGCAGUGGGGAAUCUUAGACAAUGGGGGCAACCCUGAUCGAGCCAUGCCGCGUGAGUGAUGAAGGCCUUAGGGUUGUAAAGCUCUUUCAGCUGGGAAGAUAAUGACGGUACCAGCAGAAGAAGCCCCGGCUAACCCCGUG
RNAcentral lists this ribosomal RNA (433 nucleotides) under uncultured bacterium. RNAcentral describes it as "partial 16S ribosomal RNA". It matches the Rfam family "Bacterial small subunit ribosomal RNA", at positions 29 to 507 of the family's 1533-position model. The record is from RNAcentral.